Molecule: ribosomal RNA, 1354 nt
Filed under: Ficus variegata (in: gastropods)
Lineage: Eukaryota; Metazoa; Mollusca; Gastropoda; Littorinimorpha; Ficidae
Description: Ficus variegata Roding, 1798 16S ribosomal RNA
Rfam family: Bacterial large subunit ribosomal RNA (bases 906-1260)
Source: RNAcentral
AAUAAAUAUAAGAAUUUAUAUUAAUAUUAAAUUUUAAAAUUAAAACAUUUAUAAAUUUAGUAAUUGUGAUAGAAAAUAUAUUAUUUUUUCUUUAAGUACUGUAAAGGAAAAUAUAAAAAUUAAGAAUUAAAAGUAAUUAUAUUAUGUACCUUUUGCAUCAUGGUUUAGCUAGAUUAAUUUAAAAUUUUAAUUUCUCGAAAUUUAAUGAGCUAUUUUUAACAUUUAUUUUAGUACUAAGAGGUAAUUGUAGAAAAAAUUUCUCUAUAGAUAAAAAUAGAAAUGAUAUUUUAUUCGCAUUAAAUGAUAGCUAGUUCCUAUAAAUAUAUAUAUAAGUAUAUAAGAUUAUGUUACUAUUAAAAUUUUAAUUUACAUAGUAAUCUAGUUCUUUCAAAUUUAUGAGGAUAAGCUCAUAAAUUUAAAUUAAAAUUUAACACAAUUUUUAUCAUUAAAUUUAAGCUUGAAAAUAGCUAUAAUUUAUGGAUUUUGUUAUAAUUUCAUUAUAAAAAAUAAAUAUAUAUAAAUUUGUUUAUAAAUAUAUAGGAAAAUUUAUAAAUUAAAAUAUUAAUUGUAUGUAUGCUAAAAUGAGUAUUAAUUAAAAUAUUUAACAUUUAAAUAUUAAAAAUAAAACUUUGAUAGUUAUUAAUUUAAUUAAAUUAUAUAAAGGAACUCGGCAAAAUAUGGCUUCGCCUGUUUAUCAAAAACAUCGCUCCUUGUUAUUAGUUAUAUAAGGAGUUGGACCUGCCCAGUGAUCAGAUUUUAACGGCCGCGGUACCCUGACCGUGCAAAGGUAGCAUAAUCAUUUGCCCUAUAAUUGAGGGCUAGUAUGAAUGGUUUGACGAAAGCUAUACUGUCUCUAUAUAAUUUUAUAAAAAUUUAUUUUUAGGUGAAGAAGCCUAAGUUUUAUUAAAAGACAAGAAGACCCUAUCGAGCUUAAAAAAACUUUAUAGAUUAUUUUAAUAUUAAUAUAAAGAUCUCUAUAAAAAAUUUUGGUUGGGGCGACUAAGGAACAAAAGAAGCUUCUUUUUAAUUUUUAAAACAUUCAUGUAAUGAUCCAUUUAUUUUGAUUAAAGAAAUUAGUUACCGUAGGGAUAACAGCAUAAUCUUUUUUAAGAGUUCUUAUCGAAAAAAAGGUUUGUGACCUCGAUGUUGGACCAGAAUUUCCUAAAGAUGCAGCAGUCUUUAAGGGUUGGUCUGUUCGACCAUUAAAAUUCUACGUGAUCUGAGUUCAGACCGGCGUGAGCCAGGUCAGUUUCUAUCUUUUAUUAAUUUUAUAAAUUUAGUACGAAAGGACCAAUUUAUUAUAUAAAAUAUUAUAUUAGAUUUAAUAUAAUAGUAAUAUAAAUUUAUUAUUGUU